CACUCUAGAGAGACUGCCAGGGAUAACCUGGAGGAAGGUGGGGAUGACGUCAAAUCAUCAUGCCCCUUAUGCUUAGGGCUACACACGUGCUACAAUGGGUAGUACAGAGGGUUGCCAAGCCGUAAGGUGGAGCUAAUCCCUUAAAGCUACUCUCAGUUCGGAUUGUAGGCUGAAACUCGCAUCCAUGAAGCUUGAGUUACUAGGAAUCGCAGAUCGGAAUGCUGCGGUGAAUGCGUUCCCGGGUCUUGUACACCCCGCCCGUCACACCACGGGAGUUGGAGACGCCCGAAGCCGAUUAUCUAACCUUUUGGAAGAAGUCGUCGAAGGUGGAAUCAAUAACUGGGGUGAAGUCGUAACAAGGUAGCCGUAUCGGAAGGUGCGGCUGGAUCACCUCCUUUCUAAGGAGA
This 407-nucleotide ribosomal RNA is filed under the name Clostridioides difficile. Its description in RNAcentral is "bacterial SSU rRNA". It matches the Rfam family "Bacterial small subunit ribosomal RNA", at positions 1136 to 1533 of the family's 1533-position model. Lineage: Bacteria; Bacillati; Bacillota; Clostridia; Peptostreptococcales; Peptostreptococcaceae. The record is from RNAcentral.